GGGCUCAUAGCUCAUCUGGGAGAGCGUCCGCCUUGCAAGCGGAAGGUGGCCGGUUCGAGUCCGGCUGGGUCCA
Molecule: transfer RNA, 73 nt
Filed under: Cryptosporangium aurantiacum
Lineage: Bacteria; Bacillati; Actinomycetota; Actinomycetes; Cryptosporangiales; Cryptosporangiaceae
Rfam family: tRNA
About the family: Transfer RNA (tRNA) molecules are approximately 80 nucleotides in length.
Source: Rfam by way of RNAcentral